AGGUGAAGGUGUGUGGAGCCGAGCCUGAGACCGGAUCUCCUGGAGGCUCCGGGCUGCAGCCUGGACGCAGCCGGCUCAGCGCCAGCCAGCAGCACUUCCACCGCCCGGAUAACGGAGCCAACAUCUACAGGAAGCCUCCCAUCUACAGACAAGAUGUCCGACCCGUGGACGGCAGCGGCGUCAUCCAGU
This is a long non-coding RNA of Etheostoma cragini (Arkansas darter), 189 nucleotides long. RefSeq lists it as uncharacterized. The record is from RefSeq and is a predicted model, not a curated record. The transcript has 3 exons. Lineage: Eukaryota; Metazoa; Chordata; Actinopteri; Perciformes; Percidae.